RNAcentral lists this long non-coding RNA (205 nucleotides) under Elaeis guineensis (African oil palm). Its description in RNAcentral is "long non-coding RNA (EGUI_LNC067936)". The record is from RNAcentral. Lineage: Eukaryota; Viridiplantae; Streptophyta; Magnoliopsida; Arecales; Arecaceae.
CGAUCAUGGAACUCGAAAAAUCUAUGAAUGUAUUACCAAUAACUUUGCCUUAAAUAAAAGUUUCUUUCAUAUUUGCAUAUCUUUUCUUUUGGCAUGAGCUCAUAACGACAGGGAGUAGCUCCUUCCGAUAAUCAAAACUAAGCAUGUUAGGAACAGGAGGAGGACCUCAUCCUAACACGAACAAAGUCGAAGGCCCGGUUACUUA